Strongylocentrotus purpuratus (purple sea urchin) is the source of this 406-nucleotide long non-coding RNA. RefSeq lists it as uncharacterized. NCBI's taxonomy places the organism in Eukaryota, Metazoa, Echinodermata, Echinoidea, Camarodonta, Strongylocentrotidae. The record is from RefSeq and is a predicted model, not a curated record. The transcript has 4 exons.
AAUGAUGAGCUUGCAAGUGAUGCGCAGUAGUGGACUAACCAAUGCGACUCGCCGACACAAAUUUUAAUGUGUUUGUGGAUUCGUGGAAUAAUAUGGCGGAUUAUUAUAACUUCGAAAACAACAACUGUACCCGUGAUUUUUGUUAUCCUUACACUCAGAUAGUGUGGGCUGCAACUUCUCUCGUUGGAUGUGGCAUGACUGAAUGUGAAGAAAUGGGAGACACUGAAUUCGUGGGAAAAUUAUUCGUCUGUAUGUACGGACCCAGCUGGCUAUAAUGUCACGAGAGGGUUCUGGUGGAAACUUCUGGGGUGACAGGGGGCUUAGCAGGAUGCAGAAAAAUCAAACCACUAUGUGUAUACUCAUAUGGGCCUGAACAAAGCACUAGGACAAGAUCUCCCAACGGUCC